Molecule: RNA transcript, 1150 nt
Organism: Gorilla gorilla gorilla (western lowland gorilla)
Lineage: Eukaryota; Metazoa; Chordata; Mammalia; Primates; Hominidae
Gene: PAXX
Gene name: PAXX non-homologous end joining factor
Exons: 8
Source: RefSeq, a predicted model, not a curated record
AAGCCCGCGACUGGCCUGCACCCGGCUCCGGAAGUCGUUCUUCCGCGCAGGAGCCCUGAGCCCGCACAGCCCCGCCCCUCCCGGCGCCCAAGCCCCGCCCCGCCGGGUUCCCGCUCGCCCGGCGCCAUGGAUCCGCCGUCGCCGCCGCUCUGCACGCUGCCGCCGGGCCCCGAGCCGCCCCGCUUCGUGUGCUACUGCGAAGGGGAGGAAAGCGGGGAGGGGGACCGCGGCGGCUUCAACCUCUACGUGACCGACGCCGCGGAGCUUUGGAGCACCUGCUUCACGCCGGACAGCCUGGCAGCCCUCAAAGCCCGUUUUGGCCUGAGUGCGGCUGAGGAGAUCACCCCCCGGUUCAGGGCAGCCUGUGAGCAGCAAGCUGUGGCUCUGACUCUGCAGGAGGACAGAGCAUCCCUGACGCUUUCAGGGGGGCCCUCGGCACUGGCCUUUGACCUCUCCAAGGUACCAGGCCCAGAGGCAGCCCCCAGACUGCAGGCGCUGACACUGGGCCUGGCAAAACGCGUGUGGAGCCUAGAGCGGCGACUGGCAGCUGCAGAAGAGACAGCCGUCAGCCCGAGGAAGAGCCCCCGGCCUGCAGGGCCUCAGCUCUUCUUACCAGACCCAGAUCCCCAGAGAGGUGGCCCUGGACCUGGAGUCAGGAGGCGGUGUCCAGGAGAGUCGCUCAUCAACCCCGGGUUCAAGAGAAACCAGCUGGUGGCGUGGACUUCGAUGAGACCUGAAGGUGCAGCACAAGCGUGGCCCCGCGGGGAGUCCGCCUGUGAGGGGAGAGAGGCAGUCUUCGAGGCCCCCAUCAGAGACCCCCCGCCACCACCUCCACCUGCCUGUCCUGGGCCAGGACUAAGACGGCUCCUCAAAUUCCUUCCCUGUCAAAUAAAGGGCUCCCUUGGUUGGAGGCUCUGGUGGGGCUCUGACUCCUGGCACUGGCCUGGGAAGGGAUCAGGGAACACCCCUGGGCCUGUGUUCUGGGAGUGGGGCCACAGGAUGUGAACAGAUGCUGCAGCCUCUCAGCUCCCUGGAGACUUCCUUGCUGGGCCGGAGGGAGCGCGCUGUCCAGGUAGCGGCGGACGCCGCGCAGCUCCGCGGGGAUGGGCGCCUGGCGGAAGUGCGCGCACACCGUCUGCGGGCAGGAUCG